GACGAACGCUGGCGGCGUGCUUAACACAUGCAAGUCGAACGGUAAGGCCCUUCUUUUGUGGCGUGCUCGAGGAACGAACGGGUGACUAACACGUAAGUUACCUGCCCUUUACUGUUGGCUAACUUCAGGAAACUCUGUCUAAUACCAGAUACUAGCUCCUGCUGCUUGGUGUUGGUUGGAAAGUUUCGGCGGUUGGGGACGGACUCGCGGCUCAUCAGCUUGUUGGUGGGGUAGUGGCUUACCAAGGCUUGGACGGGUAGCCGGCCUGGGAGGGUGACCGGCCAAAUGGGAACUGGGAUGCGGCCCGGACUCCAAGGGGGGGAAGGAGUGGGGAAGAUUGAACAAGGGGGGGAAGCCUGAUGAGGAAAGGCGGGGUGCGGGAGGAGGGCAUUCGGGUUGUAACCCGCUUCAGCAUGUGACGAAGCGUGAGUGACGGUAAUGGGUAAAGAAGCACCGGCUAACUACGUG
This 468-nucleotide ribosomal RNA is filed under the name uncultured bacterium. RNAcentral's name for it is "partial 16S ribosomal RNA". It matches the Rfam family "Bacterial small subunit ribosomal RNA", at positions 28 to 507 of the family's 1533-position model. The record is from RNAcentral.